GAAAGGAGUGCUAAUACAGCAUGACACCGCAAGGUCAAAGCGGGCCUCUCUACAGAAGCUCGUGCCUGAGGAUUAGCCUGCGGCCCAUCAGCUAGUUGGUAGUGUAACGGACUACCAAGGCUAAGACGGGUAGCUGGUCUGAGAGGAUGAACAGCCACACUGGAACUGAGACACGGUCCAGACUCCUACGGGAGGCAGCAGUAGGGAAUCUUGCGCAAUGGGCGAAAGCCUGACGCAGCGACGCCGCGUGAGUGAUGAAGGCCCUCGGGUUGUAAAAGCUCUGUGGGGAGAGAAGAAUAAGUGCAAGCUAAUACUUUGCAUGAUGACGGUAUCUCCUUAGCAAGCACCGGCUAACUCUGUGCCAGCAGCCGCGGUAAGACAGAGGGUGCAAACGUUGUUCGGAAUCACUGGGC
RNAcentral lists this ribosomal RNA (413 nucleotides) under uncultured bacterium. Its description in RNAcentral is "bacterial SSU rRNA". It matches the Rfam family "Bacterial small subunit ribosomal RNA", at positions 153 to 559 of the family's 1533-position model. The record is from RNAcentral.